This 497-nucleotide ribosomal RNA is filed under the name uncultured bacterium. Its description in RNAcentral is "partial 16S ribosomal RNA". It matches the Rfam family "Bacterial small subunit ribosomal RNA", at positions 28 to 507 of the family's 1533-position model. The record is from RNAcentral.
GAUGAACGCUGGCGGCGUGCCUAAUACAUGCCAGUCGAGCGAACGGACGAGAAGCUUGCUUCUCUGAUGUUAGCGGCGGACGGGUGAGUAACACGUGGAUAACCUACCUAUAAGACUGGGAUAACUUCGGGAAACCGGAGCUAAUACCGGAUAAUAUUUUGAACCGCAUGGUUCAAUAGUGAAAGACGGUUUUGCUGUCACUUAUAGAUGGAUCCGCGCUGCAUUAGCUAGUUGGUAAGGUAACGGCUUACCAAGGCAACGAUGCAUAGCCGACCUGAGAGGGUGAUCGGCCACACUGGAACUGAGACACGGUCCAGACUCCUACGGGAGGCAGCAGUAGGGAAUCUUCCGCAAUGGGCGAAAGCCUGACGGAGCAACGCCGCGUGAGUGAUGAAGGUCUUCGGAUCGUAAAACUCUGUUAUUAGGGAAGAACAUAUGUGUAAGUAACUGUGCACAUCUUGACGGUACCUAAUCAGAAAGCCACGGCUAACUACGUG